RNAcentral lists this transfer RNA (78 nucleotides) under Roseovarius nubinhibens ISM. RNAcentral describes it as "tRNA-Arg". Lineage: Bacteria; Pseudomonadati; Pseudomonadota; Alphaproteobacteria; Rhodobacterales; Roseobacteraceae. The record is from RNAcentral.
UUCGGCGUCGUCCAGCAGGCGGUGGUGGCGAGUUUCGGAUUGGCGGUGGCGGCCGGGGCGCUCAUCCUGGCGCUGGGG